This 494-nucleotide ribosomal RNA is filed under the name uncultured bacterium. RNAcentral describes it as "partial 16S ribosomal RNA". It matches the Rfam family "Bacterial small subunit ribosomal RNA", at positions 29 to 507 of the family's 1533-position model. The record is from RNAcentral.
ACGCACGCUGGCGGCGUGCCUAAUCCAUGCAAGUAGAACGCUGAAGGAGGAGCUUGCUUCUCUGGAUGAGUUGCGAACGGGUGAGUAACGCGUAGGUAACCUGCCUGGUAGCGGGGGAUAACUAUUGGAAACGAUAGCUAAUACCGCAUAAGAGUAGAUGUUGCAUGACAUUUGCUUAAAAGGUGCAAUUGCAUCACUACCAGAUGGACCUGCGUUGUAUUAGCUAGUUGGUGGGGUAACGGCUCACCAAGGCGACGAUACAUAGCCGACCUGAGAGGGUGAUCGGCCACACUGGGACUGAGACACGGCCCAGACUCCUACGGGAGGCAGCAGUAGGGAAUCUUCGGCAAUGGACGGAAGUCUGACCGAGCAACGCCGCGUGAGUGAAGAAGGUUUUCGGAUCGUAAAGCUCUGUUGUAAGAGAAGAACGAGUGUGAGAGUGGAAAGUUCACACUGUGACGGUAUCUUACCAGAAAGGGACGGCUAACUACGUG